CUGUGUCAGAGUGCUGUGUGCCGGACGAAGCUCAGGGCGGCCCUGCGGGCAUCCGUGUCAGAGUGCUGUGUGCCGGGCGACGCUCAGGGCGGCUGUGCGGGCAUCUGUGUCAGAGUGCUGUGUGCCGGGCGACGCUCAGGGCGGCCGUCUGGGCAUCCGUGUUAGCGUUCUGUGUGCCAGGCGAUGCUCAGGGCGGCCGUGCGGGCAUCCAUGUCAGAGUGCUGUGUGCCGGGCGACGCUCAGGGCAACCGUGCAGGCAUCCGUGUCAGAGUGCUGUGUGCCGGGCGACAGUCAGGGCAGCCGUGCGGGCAUCCGUGUCAGAGUGCUGUGUGCCGGGCGACGCUCAGGGCAACCGUGCGGGCAUCCAUGUCAGAGUGCUGUGUGCCGGGCGACAGUCAGGGCAGCCGUGCGGGCAUCCGUGUCAGAGUGCUGUGUGCCGGGCGAUGCUCAGGGCGGCUGUGCGGGCAUCUGUGUCAGAGUGCUGUGUGCCGGGCGACGCUCAGGGCGGCCGUCUGGGCAUCCGUGUCAGAGUGCUGUGUGCCGGGCGACUCUCAGGGCGGCCGUGUGGGCAUCCGUGUCAGCGUUCUGUGUGCCGGGCGACUCUCAGGGCAGCCGUGCGGGCAUCCGUGUCAGAGUGCUGUGUGCCGGGCGACAGUCAGGGCAGCCGUGCGGGCAUCCGUGUCAGAGUGCUGUGUGCCGGGCGACUCUCAGGGCGGCCGUGUGGGCAUCCGUGUCAGAGUGCUGUGUGCCGGGCAACGCUCAGGGCGGCCGUGUGGGCAUCCGUGUCAGAGUGCUGUGUGCCGGGCGACGCUCAGGGCGGCUGUGUGAG
Molecule: long non-coding RNA, 829 nt
Filed under: Homo sapiens (human)
Lineage: Eukaryota; Metazoa; Chordata; Mammalia; Primates; Hominidae
Description: non-protein coding lnc-METRNL-5:3
Source: RNAcentral